Molecule: ribosomal RNA, 490 nt
Filed under: uncultured bacterium
Lineage: Bacteria
Description: partial 16S ribosomal RNA
Rfam family: Bacterial small subunit ribosomal RNA
Source: RNAcentral
AGUGAACGCUGGCGGUAGGCCUAACACAUGCAAGUCGAACGGCAGCACAGGAGAGCUUGCUCUCUGGGUGGCGAGUGGCGGACGGGUGAGGAAUACAUCGGAAUCUGCCCAGUCGUGGGGGAUAACGUAGGGAAACUUACGCUAAUACCGCAUACGACCUUCGGGUGAAAGAGGGGGAUCGCAAGACCUCUCGCGAUUGGAUGAGCCGAUGUCGGAUUAGCUAGUUGGCGGGGUAAUGGCCCACCAAGGCGACGAUCCGUAGCUGGUCUGAGAGGAUGAUCCGGCACACUGGAACCUGGACACGGUCCAGGAUCCUAAGGGAGGCAACAGUGGGGAAUAUUGGACAAUGGGCGGAAAGCUUGUCCAACCAUACCGCGUGGGGUAAAGAGGGCUUCGGGGUGGAAAAGCCCUUUUGUGGGGAAAGAAACCUUCAAGGCUAAACCCUGGGAGGAUGACGGUACCCAAAGAAUAAGCACCGGCUAACUUCGUG